Molecule: ribosomal RNA, 462 nt
Filed under: uncultured Bacillota bacterium
Lineage: Bacteria; Bacillati; Bacillota
Description: bacterial SSU rRNA
Rfam family: Bacterial small subunit ribosomal RNA
Source: RNAcentral
GCACAAGCGGUGGAGUAUGUUGUUUAAUUCGAGGAUACACGAAGAACCUUACCAGGUCUUGACAUACCAUUGACCGUUCUAGAGAUAGAAUUUUCCCUUUCGGGGACAAUGGAUACAGGUGGUGCAUGGUUGUCGUCAGCUCGUGCCGUGAGGUGUUGGGUUAAGUCCCGCAACGAGCGCAACCCUUAUCGAUAGUUGCUAAUAUUAAGUUAAGGACUCUAUUGAGACUGCCAGCGACAAGCUGGAGGAAGGUGGGGAUGACGUCAAAUCAUCAUGCCCUUUAUGACCUGGGCUACAAACGUACUACAAUGGCCAAAUACAAAGAGAUGCGAAGCCGCGAGGUGGAGCGAACCUCAUAAAAAUGGUCUCAGUUCGGAUUGGAGUCUGCAACUCGACUCCAUGAAGUCGGAAUCGCUAGUAAUCGCGAGUCAGCAGAUCGCGGUGAAUACGUUCCCGGGUUUU